Molecule: ribosomal RNA, 620 nt
Filed under: uncultured fungus
Lineage: Eukaryota; Fungi
Description: eukaryotic LSU rRNA
Rfam family: Eukaryotic large subunit ribosomal RNA
Source: RNAcentral
CCCGCUGAACUUAAGCAUAUCAAUAAGCGGAGGAAAAGAAACUAACAAGGAUUCCCCUAGUAACUGCGAGUGAAGCGGGAAAAGCUCAAAUUUGAAAUCUGGCGGCUUUGCCGUCCGAGUUGUAACCUAGAGAAGCGUUAUCUGCCGCCGGCCGUGGACAAGUCCCUUGGAACAGGGCGUCAUAGAGGGUGAGAAUCCCGUCCUUGCCACGCUCCCGGUGUCUCUGUGAGGCGCUCUCGAAGAGUCGAGUUGUUUGGGAAUGCAGCUCAAAACGGGUGGUAAACUCCAUCUAAAGCUAAAUAUUGGCGAGAGACCGAUAGCGAACAAGUACCGUGAGGGAAAGAUGAAAAGCACUUUGGAAAGAGAGUUAAACAGUACGUGAAAUUGCUGAAAGGGAAGCGCUUGAAGUCAGUCGCGUCCGCAGGGAUUCAACCUUGACCGGUGCAUUUCCUUGCGGAUGGGCCAACAUCGACUUUGGCCGAGGAAAAAGGACACGAGGAAUGUGGCACCUUCGGGUGUGUUAUAGCCUCGCGUCGCACGCCUCGGCUGGGGUCGAGGACCGCAGCCUCUGGCUUAGGAUGUUGGCGUAAUGGCUUUAAACGACCCGUCUUGAAACACGG